RNAcentral lists this long non-coding RNA (1392 nucleotides) under Anolis carolinensis (green anole). Its description in RNAcentral is "lncRNA (ENSACAG00000039695.1)". Lineage: Eukaryota; Metazoa; Chordata; Lepidosauria; Squamata; Anolidae. The record is from RNAcentral.
AUGUUGCCCAGGGGACGCCCGGAUGUUUUGAUGUUUUUACCAUCCUUGUGGGAGGCUUCUCUCAUGUCCCCGCAUGGACGUUGCCCAGGGGACGCCCGGAUGUUUUUGAUGUUUUUACCAUCCUUGUGGGAGGCUUCUCUCAUGUCCCCACAUGGAGCUGGAGCUGAUAGAGGGAGCUCAUCCACGCUCUCCCCGGGUGGGAUUCGAACCUGGCAGCUUUCAGGUCAGCAACCCAACCUUCAAGUCACGAGGCUUAUAUCCCCUAGACCACCGGAGGCUCCUAAUAUAAUAUUAUUAUAAUAUAAUAAUAUUAAUUAUAUAUUAUAUUUUACAUGUAAUAUUACUAAUAAUAUUACAAUAUAUUGAUACAGUGCAAUAUAGUAAUUUAUUACCAGUAUUGUACUAUGCUAAUAAUAUAAUACUGUAUGUAAAUUUAAUUUGUAAGCUGCUCUGAGUCCCCUUCGGGGUGAGAAGGGCAGCAUAGAAAUGUAGCAAAUAAAUAAAUAAAUAAAUAUAAAUAGUUAAUAAUAAUUUGAGAAAUAAACAUUCUAUUAUGCAGUAAUAAUUUGGUUAGAUUACCCCCCCCCCCAAAAAAAACCCAAAAAACCUGGCAGUAAUUGCCCUUCAAUGAAGUAGACUUGAUGUUUGUGAACUCUCCCAAGAUAUUUAGCUGCCUGAGACAAAGAUGAAAUAGCGGUCACCAUCCCAUCCUCUUUCACAUGCAAAGCCAACAGGACUGGCCACCUGAGAGAUACAACUCUGUCCUUAGAAGAUUUCAUCUGCUUUCUCUUGUUGAUGUUGGAGAAAGUUUUAAACUUGGUCUAGUCCUGGGUUCCACCCUUGCGAGGACUAUGGCAUUAGACCAGAGAGAUAUGUAAAGCCCUUGGUCACAUGCUGUCAUUUGAGUUGUGUUCUCCCUGUGUGAUGUUUAUAUACCAUUAGCACAUAUACCCAGCAUUGUCCAGGUAUCGUUGGGACCACACACCCCUUCCCUCAUAUCUUUUCUGCUUUCCUUUCUCUUCCUUCUUUCACUUUCUCCUUUUUCUUUCUUCCUCCUCCCUUUCUUCUUCUUUCUUUCUUUUUUCUUUCCUUCCAUUUCCCUUUCUUCCUUCUCUAGCUUUGCGUGGCCUAUCUCACAAUGUGUCUAAUGGCAACAUGGAUCUCUUUGUGGCUCCUUCCUUCCCUUCUCAUUUCCUUCCUCCCUCCAUCUCCGCAAACACGCCACCUUUCUUUCCCAGUGACAUCACAGAGGGCUACUUCAGCUAGCAACAGACAAUUCUUUCCCUAGCAGUAGCCAAUCCAGUGAUAUCACAGAGGGCCACAUCACCUAGCAACAGCUGUUGAUUUGGCUUUAUAUUGACAUACAGAUAAACAGAUGCAUGCUUCAACAUA